Long non-coding RNA from Onychostruthus taczanowskii (white-rumped snowfinch), 229 nucleotides. RefSeq lists it as uncharacterized. Lineage: Eukaryota; Metazoa; Chordata; Aves; Passeriformes; Passeridae. The record is from RefSeq and is a predicted model, not a curated record. The transcript has 2 exons.
CCCCCGGCCCCUCCCUGCCCCUGGAGCUGGAGGAGCUGCAGGAGACCGAGAUCAGCUUCUGAGCGCCUCGGGAUUCCUGCUGGAGCUGCCCCGGGAACGUCCUCGGGAUUCCCCUGGAAUUCUGGGAAAAGCCAGAGAGGGAUGGAUGGAAACCUCGGGAACAGGCACCCGGAAUUCCCAGGGAUUCCCGGAUUUUGGGAUGAAAACACGGGAGAGAAUUCCUGGAAAA